GGAUUAGAUACCCUGGUAGUCCACGCCGUAAACGGUGGGCACUAGAUGUGGGGCUCAUUCCAUGAGUUCCGCGUCGCAGCUAACGCAUUAAGUGCCCCGCCUGGGGAGUACGGCCGCAAGGCUAAAACUCAAAGGAAUUGACGGGGGCCCGCACAAGCGGCGGAGCAUGCGGAUUAAUUCGAUGCAACGCGAAGAACCUUACCAAGGCUUGACAUAUACCCUCUACCCCCAGAGAUGGGGGGUGCUUCGGCGGGGUAUACAGGUGGUGCAUGGUUGUCGUCAGCUCGUGCCG
This 292-nucleotide ribosomal RNA is filed under the name uncultured bacterium. RNAcentral's name for it is "partial 16S ribosomal RNA". It matches the Rfam family "Bacterial small subunit ribosomal RNA", at positions 775 to 1067 of the family's 1533-position model. The record is from RNAcentral.